CCUACGGGAGGCUGCAGUGAGGAAUAUUGGUCAAUGGACGAGAGUCUGAACCAGCCAAGCCGCGUGAAGGAUGACUGCCCUAUGGGUUGUAAACUUCUUUUAUAUGGGAAUAAAAUGUUCCACGUGUGGGAUUUUGUAUGUAUCAUACGAAUAAGGAUCGGCUAACUCCGUGCCAGCAGCCGCGGUAAUACGGAGGAUCCGAGCGUUAUCCGGAUUUAUUGGGUUUAAAGGGAGCGUAGGUGGCUAGUUAAGUCAGUUGUGAAAGUUUGCGGCUCAACCGUAAAAUUGCAGUUGAAACUGGCAGGCUUGAGUACAGUAGAGGUAGGCGGAAUGCGUGGUGUAGCGGUGAAAUGCUUAGAGAUCACGAAGAACUCCGAUUGCGAAGGCAGCUCACUGGACUGCAACUGACGCUGAGGCUCGAAAGUGUGGGUAGCAAACAGGAUUAGAUACCCUGGUAGUC
RNAcentral lists this ribosomal RNA (460 nucleotides) under uncultured bacterium. Its description in RNAcentral is "partial 16S ribosomal RNA". It matches the Rfam family "Bacterial small subunit ribosomal RNA", at positions 338 to 795 of the family's 1533-position model. The record is from RNAcentral.